Molecule: long non-coding RNA, 1643 nt
Organism: Antechinus flavipes (yellow-footed antechinus)
Lineage: Eukaryota; Metazoa; Chordata; Mammalia; Dasyuromorphia; Dasyuridae
Exons: 4
Source: RefSeq, a predicted model, not a curated record
CUCCGCUGGCCCAACUUCUAGCUUUUGAAUUCUUCCCGAUGAGCCCUCCGUGGCAGAGACUCCUGUUCAAGGAUCAUUGUUUUAAAGCUAAAAAGGCCGUUGAAUCCAGCCCCAGAGAGGCUGUGUCUUACCUGGGACCCCUCGCUGGUAGUGUGAUGGAGUAAGAGAAGAGGCCUUCACAAGUCUCCACAGCUACAUUUGUUGAUGAGAGGUCAUUUUCCAGAAGAGGAAACUGAGGCAAACAAGGUGAAGUGAUUUGCCCAAGAUCACACAACUGGUGGCUAGGAUGCCUGAAUCCCCCAUCACCUCCGAACUGGAGAAGCCCAGUGAGUUCCAUGGCUACAGAGGAGACAGGUUCUCAUUCAGCCAUAUCUGAUUAUUUUCCCAUCUCAGAUGCUACAAAAAAAGGGGCCUUUCAAGACUGGCUGACUGAUGGGGCUCUCGCUGUAAGGGAUGGAUCAUGGAAGCUCCCACAAAGACCAGAAGGAAGGAGUAUGGCGAAAACAUAUGUCCCCUGGCAUGAGCAAGGCUAAGCUCCGAAUCCCACAGAAGUUUUUUUGGACUCUCCUUGUGGUUCAGGGAAAGGCCACGGCAACUAUUUGAAAGAAUGGAGGGACUAAUUCAUGAGGAAUGAGAUUAAAGGCACGCAGAAUGUAUUGCUUGGCCAAAGAAUGAGUAGUAGGGUGGAGAGCAGAGGAGAAGGAAGGGACAUGACUGCAGUUUUCAAGUAUGCGGAAUGGCUCCAAUUGCCAAGCCGGGAAGAGUAGGUGCUUGGUACGUUCUGAGAGGGCACAGGAAGAGGGGAAUUUAAAUGAAAAUCUGAAAACAACAUGAAGAAAACAAGUUUGGGAGAGUGUCCAAAGAACAGUGGGAGGGAAUCCACUUCAUAUUCUGGAACGUGUCAUCUUUGAGUGAUUUAGGGUAAGAGAUUUUCUACUGUCUCCUCAAUGUUGUUGACUUCUUUGAGUGAAAAAUAAAAAAUUGUGACAUCUCACAACCUGAAAAAAAAUAAUAAAAUAUCCCUAAGUGGGGCAGCUAGGUUGCAUAGUGGUUAGAACACUGAGCCUGAAGUCAGGAGAACCAGAAUUCAAAUCUGGCUUCGGACAAUUGACACUUUUCAGCUGUGUGAUCCUGGGCAAGCCACUUAACUCCAAUUGCCUUUUCAAAAACAACAGCAAAAAACAUCCCUAAGACAUGGUUCCUUUGAAUAUUAACUCUUAAAUGCCCGAGAGCAGAUCCCUUUGUACCUUUUCCACACUACUUGGGACAAUACAGUCCAAGCUUUUCAUCAAAGCACCGUUAAACUGACCAGAACAUGGAGAGGUCACCUUGUCUGUUCCUUUCCCUUCCUCCAGUAUAAUGGGCUGAAGCUCGAGUUGUUGCACUGAGGUCCCAAGCAUGUGAUGCUAAAUAGUAAUUGGACCAUCCUCUAUUAAUGGAUGCUUGGAGGAAGACUGGCCCCGCCCAUUCUUUGUGCAAGUCCUGAUGUGUUGUAUAGGAAAUGUAUAGGGAUGAUUUGGGUGGCGGAGAGAGAGGCGGAGAGACAGCUGGCCAGGUUCGUGUUGCUGCUGCUCACAUUGCUAUCGCUAUCCCUCUUCACCUCCACAAAGAAUAAAGAUCGAAGAUUUUUCCCUUAAACUGAA